GCCCAGGUGGCGGAAUUGGUAGACGCGCUGGCUUCAGGUGCCAGUAGCUUAACGGCUGUGAAGGUUCGAGUCCUUUCCUGGGCA
Non-coding RNA from Rhodopseudomonas palustris, 84 nucleotides. The record is from Rfam. NCBI's taxonomy places the organism in Bacteria, Pseudomonadati, Pseudomonadota, Alphaproteobacteria, Hyphomicrobiales, Nitrobacteraceae.